GAGGUGGGAGGAUUGCUUGAGCCUGGGAGGUUGAGGCUGCAGUGAGCCAUGACCUUGCCACUCACUGCACUCCAGCCUGAGUGACAGAGCCAGACCUUGUCUC
Rhinopithecus bieti (black snub-nosed monkey) is the source of this 103-nucleotide microRNA precursor. Lineage: Eukaryota; Metazoa; Chordata; Mammalia; Primates; Cercopithecidae. The record is from Ensembl.